GACGAACGCUGGCGGCGUGCUUAACACAUGCAAGUCGAACGGUGAAGCCCUUCGGGGUGGAUCAGUGGCGAACGGGUGAGUAACACGUGAGCAACCUGCCCCUGGCUCUGGGACAACCACUGGAAACGGUGGCUAAUACCGGAUACGACCCGCCUCGGCAUCGAGUGUGGGUGGAAAGUUUUUCGGCUGGGGAUGGGCUCGCGGCCUAUCAGCUUGUUGGUGAGGUGAAGGCUCACCAAGGCGACGACGGGUAGCCGGCCUGAGAGGGCGACCGGCCACACUGGGACUGAGACACGGCCCAGACUCCUACGGGAGGCAGCAGUGGGGAAUAUUGCACAAUGGGCGAAAGCCUGAUGCAGCGACGCCGCGUGAGGGAUGACGGCCUUCGGGGUGUAAACCUCUUUCAGCUCCGAAGAAGCGAAAGUGACGGUAGGAGCAGAAGAAGCACCGGCUAACUACG
Molecule: ribosomal RNA, 460 nt
Filed under: uncultured bacterium
Lineage: Bacteria
Description: partial 16S ribosomal RNA
Rfam family: Bacterial small subunit ribosomal RNA
Source: RNAcentral